CCUCCGUCCCAAAAUAAGUACAGUUUUGCACUAUGUCUUAUUUGAAAAUUUUUUAUGAUUAGUAUUUUUAUUGCUAUUAGAUGAUAAAACAUGAAUAGCACUUUAUGUGUGACUAAAUGUUUUUAAUUUUUUCACAAAUUUUUUAAAUAAGACGGACGGUCAAACGUUGAAUGUGAAUAGUGCAAAACUGCACUUAUU
RNAcentral lists this microRNA precursor (198 nucleotides) under Oryza barthii. RNAcentral describes it as "MIR812 microRNA precursor family". It matches the Rfam family "MIR812 microRNA precursor family", at positions 26 to 205 of the family's 205-position model. Lineage: Eukaryota; Viridiplantae; Streptophyta; Magnoliopsida; Poales; Poaceae. The record is from Rfam by way of RNAcentral.